AGGAGCCGAAUGAAACAAAAGUUUCACGUUCGGUUUUGAAUUAGAGGCGUUAAAUUUUUUAUAUUAUAGAAUAUAUAUGUAUUUUUUCGUCAAUUGGUUAAUUCUUUUUUUGAAUUUAUUAAGUUAUUUUUAGUUAUUAAUAUUCAAUUCAAUUUGAAUUCGAUUAUUUAUUCUAUUUUGAAUUUUGAAUAAAUAUUAUUUAAUAUUUAGAAUAUAUAAUAUAAUAUGGAUUAGUAUUAUUCUAUAUC
This is a non-coding RNA of Lupinus albus (white lupine), 248 nucleotides long. The record is from the annotation of a GenBank genome assembly. NCBI's taxonomy places the organism in Eukaryota, Viridiplantae, Streptophyta, Magnoliopsida, Fabales, Fabaceae.